RNAcentral lists this ribosomal RNA (194 nucleotides) under uncultured bacterium. RNAcentral's name for it is "partial 16S ribosomal RNA". It matches the Rfam family "Bacterial small subunit ribosomal RNA", at positions 338 to 524 of the family's 1533-position model. The record is from RNAcentral. RNAcentral also lists the same sequence under 2 other names.
CCUACGGGAGGCAGCAGUAGGGAAUCUUCCACAAUGGACGAAAGUCUGAUGGAGCAACGCCGCGUGAGUGAAGAAGGGUUUCGGCUCGUAAAGCUCUGUUGGUAGUGAAGAAAGAUAGAGGUAGUAACUGGCCUUUAUUUGACGGUAAUUACUUAGAAAGUCACGGCUAACUACGUGCCAGCAGCCGCGGUAAU